This 318-nucleotide long non-coding RNA is filed under the name Panax ginseng (ginseng). RNAcentral describes it as "long non-coding RNA (PGIN_LNC001536)". Lineage: Eukaryota; Viridiplantae; Streptophyta; Magnoliopsida; Apiales; Araliaceae. The record is from RNAcentral.
GUUGGAUCUCUUUAUUUCCAAUCAUCAUGUUGUUGCACUUCAUUCGGAAGUCACUUCACGUCUCCAUGAGAAUGACUUACUUUAUGUAGAGCUUUAGGAGCUUCAAGAUGCCAUAGAUAAAUUAAAGACCAAGCUUUUGGGAAAUUGAGUCAGCUGCCCAAGACAUUAAAGGCUCAAUAGCCUCCGAUACGAAGGCGCAGGGUACCACACCAUUGUUGACUUUGAGGCUUUAGCUAUUCCCCUCUCUUCAGUUCGACAGGUCAUAGCCUUUAGAUCAUGAACUUUCGUAGUUUUUUCCAUUUCCUGUAUCAGAAAAUU